This 1875-nucleotide long non-coding RNA is filed under the name Salmo salar (Atlantic salmon). Its description in RNAcentral is "lncRNA (ENSSSAG00000099877.1)". The record is from RNAcentral. Lineage: Eukaryota; Metazoa; Chordata; Actinopteri; Salmoniformes; Salmonidae.
CUGGUAAAAAAAAAGUUUCAAUGGGGGCCUGAGUAAAAGUGUUUGGUGAGGAAAUGGCUGAGUAGCCUAGCAAUAUUAAAUCGACUAUAACCGAUAUCCGAACAAGAGGGCAAUUCAUGAGUCAGGAGAGAAGUUAUUUAACCCAGGAAAAGGGAGUGGUUUUGGGUGGUUAAUCUUGGUAACCAGGUUCCCGCCAUUCAACCCUAACCUGCACCCACACUUUUUCACCUCUCCCUUGACAAUCCACCAUCUCUCCCUUGACACGCAUGCACCCAUACCAUUCCUGUGCUUGUCCUUCAUUCUCCCUGAAAAAGGUCCCUGUUACAGCAGAUCUGCUCGAGUUGGCGACACUAAAAAUAAGUUGCAAACGUGCUCCCGCUCUGUUUCCAAGGUUUAAUAUUGUCCCCCCGGCUAUGACACUGUCACACUGAGCUGUAGCUAGAGUUGUUUGUGUGUGUGUGUGUGUUUGUUUUAGUCUAGAUGGACUGUAAAUGAGCAUGUCUUUAACUCUCUUUUCCCAAAUUAAUAUUUAGUUACCACACACCACAAUGUGUUCAUUGCUAAUUGGUUUAUUAACUAGCUUAGAAUUCAUGCCAGCUCUAUUCACUCUAUUCCUAUCUGUGACUUCCAGAACGUUUCACAUCACUGAAUACACCCCACGACGGUUCAGUGCCCUGUGUUGUCAUGUUGCAUGUGACCCCAGGUAGUGGGUUUAAACAUGCUCUUCGUUCUAAUCAAAACAGCCUGGCUGGAUCUGCCAAUCUCUCUCUCCACGCUCUCCUAUGAGAAGGAGUCGUUUGUGUUGGUCCCUUCACUCUCCCUUCUUCUCCCGCUGUCUCUGUAUCUUGCCCAAACAGUUUGUUGUUCCACCUCAAAAAGCACAAGACAGAGGAUUUCGACACCCACCAUUUUGUCGAAAUAUAAUUGAAUCUCUGAGACAUUAAGCUGAUUGAUCGCACCCAAAUUGGCCAUUUUAAAUUAGAGGAUUCAUAUAAUAUUCAAUAAAUAUAGUACAUAACAUCCAAUUUGGACCCCGACAAAAAUCUUACAAUGAGAAACAUUCCGACGGACCCCCCCACGCCAAUCCAUAACAAAUGUCUAUGUUUGACAAGUAUACUGAACAAAAAUUAUUUUGAGUAAAGUCAUUGAAAUUGUUGCGUUUAUAAGGAAAUCGGUCAAUUUAAAUAAUCUCAUAAGGCCCUAAUUUAUGGAUUUCACAAGACUGGGUAGGGGUACAGUCGUGGGUGGGUCAUGGGUGCCACCCCCCCACCACUGGGGAGCCACGCCCAGCCAAUCAGAAUGAGUUUUUCCUCACAAAAGGGCUUUAUUACAGACAGAAAUACGCCUCAGUUUCAUCAGCUGUCCGGUUGGCUGGUCUCAGACGAUCCCACAGGUAAAGAAGCCGAUUGUGGAGGUCCUGGGCUGGUGUGGUUAGACGUGGUUUGCGGUUUUGAUGCCGGUUGGACGUGCUGCCAAAUUCUUUAAAAUGACCUUGGGAGGCGGCUUAUUGUAGAGAAAUUAACAUUAAAUUCUCUGGCAAUGUUACCGGCCUCAGUCUAGCUGAGGUGGCCUGUAAUAGUAAAAAUAACGGACACAAGUUUACGUCUGCAAAGUUCUGGUGUUUUCUUUAUUCUGAAGAAUGUUUUUUUUUCUCUUGUUCAAUUGUCUAUUUUCUUCUUCGUACUUUUAAAACAUUAACAUCAAACAAGUGCACACUUUAAAAUACACUGCAUAAAUGCACUUUACCUAAAGCAGAAUUCGAAAAUGUUCCACAAAUAACCCCGUCUACUGUAUGAUUUCACAUGAAAACCACAAUGCAUUUCAUGUUCAUACAAUAGAAACACUUAUAUAUAUAUAUAUAUGUAUGUAUGUAUG